UUAUUUUUUUGGUAACAACUA
Molecule: non-coding RNA, 21 nt
Filed under: Caenorhabditis elegans
Lineage: Eukaryota; Metazoa; Nematoda; Chromadorea; Rhabditida; Rhabditidae
Source: RNAcentral